RNAcentral lists this small nuclear RNA (20 nucleotides) under Arabidopsis thaliana (thale cress). Its description in RNAcentral is "snRNA_12296". The record is from RNAcentral. Lineage: Eukaryota; Viridiplantae; Streptophyta; Magnoliopsida; Brassicales; Brassicaceae.
AGAUGCUUUGCGCGUGGAUC